GGAUGAUUAAUCAGUAAUUACUGGUCUCUUUCUAGAGGUGAUUUCUCCAUCUUUCUCUCUCUAGAGGUUAUUAAACCAGAAAUGUAAGGAGGAUUCUUUUGGCUGGGGGGACCUACAGCCACGACAGCAUAGACAGAGUGAAGUGACGUCUUUCCAACUCUCAGGAGCUCAUUGAUGCCUGCAAAUACGGUAUUUUUUAUGCACUUUAUUCUUAUAUUUAAACUUGGUUUUAACCCAUUUGUAAUUUGAUGAACAUGGGGUGAGCUCAAGGAUUACUGUCUGAAAAUCUGCAGUUUUGGAGUUCCAUUUAAUGGAUCCUCUCUCUCUCUCUCNNNNNNNNNNNNNNNNNNNNCUCUCUCUCUCUCUCUCUCUCUCUCUCUCUCUCUCUCUCUCUCUCUCUCUCUCUCUCUCUCUCUCUCUCUCUCUCUCUCUUGGCAGCACUGUCUUUCCCUUAUUAGGGCUUCCUUCCAUGCAUGUGUUAUUGACACAUUGGUCAGCAACAUAGCCACAUUUUUCUCAUUGGAAUCAACUUCUGUUUAUGUGGUUUAUAAGUUAUUUCUUUAGUUUUUUCAUCACAAGGUUUCUCUGUGUGGUUACUAAGUUAUUUUUUGAGAUUUUUCAUCUCAAGGUUUUAGAAGAUGGUGUUUAUUGAAUGUGCAGUACAUAGGUAUCCUAGGCCUCUUUUACGGUAGGGUUGGAUCUAAUUUUGGCAUCAACUAUAAAGAUCUUAUCACUUUACUGGUUGAGGAGAUUGUGCCUUUCUGGCCUUUACUUCUAAAGGGAUUGUCCUUUAAUGUGGGGCAUGCAGUACAUAUAGCUUUGAAUAGGGGUUUACACUAAGCUUCCCCAUUACCCAUGGUGACCAACCAACAAAAAAUUAUUACUUGACUUAUUCACAAUAAAGGGCAAUUCUUUGAAUGUUAUCUGAUAACAAUACAAAAAAUAGAAAUGAUGCUCAUUUAAUCACAGGGUACUUGGUAGAUAUUUUUGCAGAUUAAUAAAUCUGCCUCAGUUGAGGACUAUUUUUGGCAUAAUAGUAAUUGUCCUUGUGGAUACAUUAGCUUAUAUAGUCCUCACAUCAGUCCUUUCUCUUUAAAGUCUUGUAACACCAAUGGCCUUGAUAUGCUAAUGCUUCCUUCAUUUAUUUUGUAUGAUUGUUCCUUCAUUUACUUUUUCUACUUUAUUGAUAAUCAUUUAGAAUUAUUGGGAUUAAUAUUCACCAAAAUUAAGCAUCUUUUCAGCAUCCUUUCCUCUUUGAGUAACUAACUGGGUUUGGCUAUCUUCUACCUGAAUGAUAAAAUUUGUUUUUAUAAGUUGAGAAACCAACUAUAAACUGAGAAAAAUGAGAGAAUCUACCCCAUUGAGUUCCAUUAGUUUGUGCUUUCAAUCCAUGAAGCUUUCCAUGACAUCUUUGCAAGUAAUCAACACAAUCUAUGGUGCAUAAUCAUUCUCGUUAAUCAAUGAACCAUGCAUUGUGCGUUUGCAAUCAAUCUAUUAUUGUUGUAACCAUAAUAUUAUUAAUGUACCCUUUUGAAAUACUGCCACAGAUUAUGCAAAAAGACUUGGUGGUUUGCUCCAAGUAAUCAUCUAACCUUACGAACAUACGAGGUCUUCGUCAACAUUCAAUAAUGGCUACUCUAUUACUAAAGUGACCGAAUUACUUGUCUUAGAUGCCUGACCAUGAUGAUAAUUGAAUCAAUGUCGAAUUCUUCCAAUAUUGAAACACAUAAGAUGGCAAUUAACAAUUAUCUGAUUAGUUAUCUUAACCAAGGUUACCGCACAUUACUUAGAGUUACUUAUUCUUUAUUGCCUACUCUAUAACCCGUUAUUUUCUUAGUUCUACUGAUCUUACUGUACCCUUUGACUAAACCUUCUUUCCAUCGUCUAUCAAGAUAACAUUGUUCUCUCUAUGUCUCAGUUAACAGUUCGAGAUUAAUGGGGGAUUUGUUUCUUUUUAUUAACUCAAUAAGAUCUCUUGUGCAUUUCUGCAAAAAAUAAAUUUGUAGUGAUUUCCUUAUGCGAGAUAAAUAUCCAGAAGAAAUAUAUCUGUAUUGUCCCACUCAUAAUUGUUAUAACCAUAUUAGGCAUCUGCAAUCUACAGUCAUAAUAGAUCUGAGCAAUAGCAAAGAUUCCUAUAGUCGUAAAGGAUUACAACCUGAACAAGGGGCUUGUCGGAGGGAUCAAUGGACAAUUAAUUUUCAGAUUUCAUUAUGUGAUCCCUUAUAGAAAUCAUUCCUGUUUCCUUUUACAAUAAAUCAUAUGAAGCAAUACUCUUCUACACAAAUCCUUUGAUAUGGAUAGAAGAAAGCAUUUUAGUUUUACUUUGUAUGCAUUUGAAGGAUUCAUUGGCAUCAUGAUAGUUUAUGAGUUCCAACUCAUUGCUUAGCUGCGGUGAAAGAAAAGAUGAACAACAUGUUGGAUUAUUUCCUUUAAGCUAUAUAUAGGUAUUUUUCUACAAUAAGCUAUAUAUAUAUAUAUAUAUAUAUAUAUAUAUACACCUUUGACAGAGCAGAACGAUGGAACAAGAUUCAUGUAGCCAAUCCCAAAUAGUUGGAAUAAAGCUUGGAUGAUGAUGAUGAAGCUAUAUAUUGUUAUUUAUAUCUGUUGCUUUUCACAUUGAGAUCUGCCUAUCAGGGAAGAUUUGUUGGAAAUUAUACAGUUCAUUUCAUAUAACUUGGAAACAAAUAUCUUCGAAAGCAUUGCCAAACAAAGACCCAUUGGUGAUCAUAAACACCCCUUUAACAAGUAGAUGUUUGAAGGUUGAAUAGUUGUUUAUUUUCCCGCUCAAAUUCUGC
RNAcentral lists this long non-coding RNA (2795 nucleotides) under Amborella trichopoda. RNAcentral's name for it is "long non-coding RNA (ATRI_LNC000289)". The record is from RNAcentral. Lineage: Eukaryota; Viridiplantae; Streptophyta; Magnoliopsida; Amborellales; Amborellaceae.